This 348-nucleotide transfer-messenger RNA is filed under the name Eubacteriales. Its description in RNAcentral is "UBA1049 sp003452915 Standard tmRNA". It matches the Rfam family "transfer-messenger RNA". From Rfam's summary of the family: Bacterial tmRNA, also known as 10Sa RNA or SsrA, is named for its dual tRNA and mRNA-like properties. Its role is to liberate the mRNA from a stalled ribosome. The record is from RNAcentral. Lineage: Bacteria; Bacillati; Bacillota; Clostridia. RNAcentral also lists the same sequence under 2 other names.
GGGGGCGUAAAGGUUUCGACGGGGAUUUUGAACCGAUAUAAGCGAGCAGAAGAACGUGUCUUCUUUAAAAAACGUAAAUUAAAUUUAAACGCUAACAAAAACGUUAAAGUUGCUGCCUAACUAGGCAGCCGUCGGGCCUGGAAGGACUACGAGCCAGGUUUUGGCGUCACUUAGUAGUGAACGUGAGCGGGCUUAAGCUUUGCUGCCUGCCAUGAACUUAUGAAGCUACCAAACAAGUCAGCCUGCUCUUUGGCGGUCAUGCAAGGGAAUCUAAACAAAGAGCUACGCUCGUAGAAAGUGCCGGCAAAAGGUUUUCGGACAGGGGUUCGAUUCCCCUCGCCUCCACCA